CAUUAAUGUUUACAUGAGUUAAUGUAGUUUGUACAAUUCAAUGAAUUGAAUAAUUUUCCUAAUUAAUCUACCAAAAAAAAAUCAGUAGGAUUUCUUGAGAUAUCUGAAAUCCAUUGAGGAACCAAUACAGUCUAACUUAGUUCUGCAAAGAUUCAACAAUUUCAACAACUCAGUAAUCUUCUCUUUCGUGCUUUCAUCACAACCAACCUGUAAGAGUAUCAGUAGCUUCUGUAAUGCACUCACUUUAAGUUGAAGUGCUUCAGCUACAACACCUCCUUCCUCUCUCUUCUCAUUCUUGCAAAGCUUCCAGAGAAUUGACACUGAGAAUUUUGAUGCCAAUUCUGAUGCUAAAAUCUUCUGAAACAACACAGGAAUGAUUAGAGCAUUCUCAUACGCCUUUUCUCUCCCUUCUUUGGAGUCACAAACAUGGUCCAAAACGCCCAAAGCCUUUUCACAUAUGCUUUUAUCUCCAUCAACAAGAACCUCUAUAAUCAGAGAGACCAAACCCAGUUCCACAAAUAUUGAUGCAAUCUUGUGGCUGAUUGCUGAAGGAGAUAUCAUGUAGAAUAUAACCAUUAAUGAAGCCUUCGAGGAAGCUGGGCAAAUUGGCUCCUUGAUUAACUCGACUAGUGCUUGAAUAACUCCUUCUAUCUCCACCAAGGUAUUUACAUGCUUUUGAUCUAAAGAAAGAAGCUCUUUAAGUACCAAAACUGCACUUUGUCUAGCUGAAAGGUCUCCGUUACUCUUCAAAAGCCAUAACAUGCAACGUAAAGAAAUCACUGAUCCUAGCUUGGUUUGGCCUUCUCCACCAAGCGGAAACAUCCAUACCAGGACUGAUAAUAUCUCUACCAACAAAUCUGCAUAUUUCUCCACCGUAGAAGAGCUACUUAUUGCUUGUGCAAAUGACUCAAAAGCAGCUGCUAAUACACAGCCAGCUCCAUUAUCCACAAUAGACCUUUUAUUUCGUUCGCUUUCCUUUCCCCAGUACUUGAUCUUCAACACCAAUUCUUUACACUUCUUAUGAUCCCCACGUUGAGUUGCCGCUACAAUUCUCUUACAAAUAUCUGAAACCUCGUACGGCGUGACCGGAAUACGAGGAGUAGGAAUUCUUUCAAUCCCAUAAGAUCGAUUCUCAACACACCAGUCUUGGAUCAUCUUGCGUAUGAAAUGGUUUGGUAUUUGAUCGAUGCUCAACAAAACCUGAUUAGUAACAGGACAAGUCUGGUUACCAUCUUCUAUCCACUUGUCAAUGCUUUCUCGAUCAUAAGUGAUCCCCGUCGACAAAGUAACCGGAUCUUUCAUCAAGUCAAGAGAAAUCGGGCACCGGAAAUGAAUUGGAACCAAGAUUUCCAUCUCCAAAUUAUCGUGGGAAUCAUCAUCGUUGAGCUUGUUCUUUCUUGCAAGACGAGCCGUAUCUCUUCUUCUCCUCCAAGAUAACAUCAUGAACGAUAGAUCAAAAGAAGAAAUAUUAAAAAAAG
Molecule: unclassified non-coding RNA, 1478 nt
Filed under: Hevea brasiliensis (rubber tree)
Lineage: Eukaryota; Viridiplantae; Streptophyta; Magnoliopsida; Malpighiales; Euphorbiaceae
Source: RNAcentral